UUAAGAAUAUUAAAUAUUCUAGAAAAUAACAGUCUCUGAAAUUAACAUAUCAUUGUUGCAGAACAUACCAGCUACUGCUAUCUUUUUCCAGGCACCUUCAUCAAAAUAUGGUUUCAUAAUAUGGUUAACAUAACCAAGUGCCUCUGCUGGUGGAUGGUCAUCGUCCAGUUGAAUGUCUCUUGCAGUUAACAGCUUCUUGGAUGAAAAAGCAUUUUCAAUAUUUUCUUGUGACACACCAAAACCUUCCAGUUGUUCUCUGAUUGAAUCUGAAAUUGCAAAUGGAACUUUACAUGUCCUUUUUCUUUUCUUUGUUGACUUGAACUUACGUUGUGGUGUGACGUGUUUAUUUGCUGGUAAUCUGGUGACCAACUUCAAGGGUAAUUGACAUCUUUUUUCUUUCACAGCAAUGAAUAAGUUUUUGGCUGCUGUUAUCUUAUUAUUGAGAAUUUUUAUUGCUUCGUUGUCUUCACAUUCAUCAAGUAGUAUGGUAAGAUCCAAAAGUUGUCGCUUAACUGCUUCCUUUAGUGUGGUUUUGUCUUUUUCUUUCUGUGUGUUGUUGCUCAUAACUUGUGAUGCAAGCUCCUGUACUUCAGAUUCUUUGUAAUUUAGUUGAAUGCUGACUUCAUUUAUUUUGCCAUUGUCAAGUUCUUUUUGUGACAAGAAGUUAUUCAAAAGAUGUAUAUGUUUGCAAAUUGUGCUAUUUAUAAGGCUAUCAGGACAAUCACAAACAUAUUGAUGGAUGCAAAUAUCACAUUCAGCACAUAUGCCAGGUUUACAACAUUGUCUCAGAUCCAACAUCCAAGUACAAUCGGUUUAUUGUCAACCAGCGUAUGUGGUCACUUGACACCCAUCUGUCAACACAUAACCUGGACAUCUCAUUGGAUGACAAUCCUCGUUCUUUCAUAAUUUCACUAUAUGGGGUUCUGUACAAAAGCUUCUGAAAGGCUGUAAUUGAAGCAGCUGAUGGAUGUUCUACCACCGUGUCUGGUUUGUUCAAUGGUUGGGAAAACCAGGCAAUUUCCUCUUCGACUUCUACUUGUAUGCUUUUUAAGGUGUGAAAUUUCUGAAGAUUCGUGAUGCAAUUGAUAUCUAACCUUCCUUGUGAUGUGUUGAUACAUGCUACUUUGCUUGUACUUGAUGCCUCAACUAUUUUUCUCCAUUGUUGCAACUGGUCCAUACUUGGCAUAGAUGUUACAUGGCAAGGAUCAACAACUGAAUCAUCAUCUGUACUGCAAUUUACACCUUUGGUAAACCAUUUCUCAAUCUUUGGCAACAAAGACUCAAAAGCCUGACCUCUAGUUAGCUUGCUCAGUACGGGCUCUAUCUUUUUUGAAGCUUUUUUGAGAUACAAAACCUCCAAAUAAAUUAUGUACAUAUAACUAACAAAACUAA
This is a long non-coding RNA of Xenia sp. Carnegie-2017, 1392 nucleotides long. RefSeq lists it as uncharacterized. The record is from RefSeq and is a predicted model, not a curated record. The transcript is spliced from 3 exons. NCBI's taxonomy places the organism in Eukaryota, Metazoa, Cnidaria, Anthozoa, Malacalcyonacea, Xeniidae.